This 863-nucleotide ribosomal RNA is filed under the name uncultured bacterium. Its description in RNAcentral is "bacterial SSU rRNA". It matches the Rfam family "Bacterial small subunit ribosomal RNA", at positions 8 to 841 of the family's 1533-position model. The record is from RNAcentral.
AGAGUUUGAUCCUGGCUCAGGACGAACGCUGGCGGCGUGCCUAAUACAUGCAAGUCGAGCGCAGGAAGUCAUCCGAACCCUUCGGGGGGACGUUGACGGAAUGAGCGGCGGACGGGUGAGUAACACGUAAAGAACCUGCCCUCAGGUCUGGGAUAACCACGAGAAAUCGGGGCUAAUACCGGAUGGGUCAUCGGACCGCAUGGUCCGAGGAUGAAAGGCGCUCCGGCGUCGCCUGGGGAUGGCUUUGCGGUGCAUUAGCUAGUUGGUGGGGUAAUGGCCCACCAAGGCGACGAUGCAUAGCCGACCUGAGAGGGUGAUCGGCCACACUGGGACUGAGACACGGCCCAGACUCCUACGGGAGGCAGCAGUAGGGAAUCUUCCACAAUGGACGAAAGUCUGAUGGAGCAACGCCGCGUAAACGAUGAAGGCCCUCGGGUCGUAAAGUUCUGUUGUAAGGGAAGAACAAGUGCCGCAGGCAAUGGCGGCACCUUGACGGUACCUUGCGAGAAAGCCACGGCUAACUACGUGCCAGCAGCCGCGGUAAUACGUAGGUGGCAAGCGUUGUCCGGAAUUAUUGGGCGUAAAGCGCGCGCAGGCGGCCUCUUAAGUCUGAUGUGAAAGCCCCCGGCUCAACCGGGGAGGGCCAUUGGAAACUGGGAGGCUUGAGUAUAGGAGAGAAGAGUGGAAUUCCACGUGUAGCGGUGAAAUGCGUAGAGAUGUGGAGGAACACCAGUGGCGAAGGCGACUCUUUGGCCUAUAACUGACGCUGANGCGCGAAAGCGUGGGGAGCAAACAGGANUAGAUACCCUGGUAGUCCACGCCGUAAACGAUGAGUGCUAGGUGUUGGAGGGUUUCCNCCCUUC